RNAcentral lists this ribosomal RNA (454 nucleotides) under uncultured bacterium. RNAcentral describes it as "bacterial SSU rRNA". It matches the Rfam family "Bacterial small subunit ribosomal RNA", at positions 340 to 786 of the family's 1533-position model. The record is from RNAcentral.
UACGGGAGGCAGCAGUGGGGAAUAUUGCACAAUGGGCGAAAGCCUGAUGCAGCUAUGCCGCGUGUAUGAAGAAGGCCUUAGGGUUGUAAAGUACUUUCAUCGGGGAGGAAAAACAAAACUAAUAAUUUUAUUUCUUGACGUUACCCGAAAAAGAAGCACCGGCUAACUCCGUGCCAGCAGCCGCGGUAAUACGGAGGGUGCUAGCGUUAAUCAGAAUUACUGGGCGUAAAGAGCACGUAGGUGGUUUUUUUAAGUCAGAUGUGAAAUCCCUGGGCUUAACCUGGAAUUGCAUUUUGAAACUGAAAUACUAGAGUAUCGUAGAGGGAGGUAGAAUUCUAGGUGUAGCGGUGAAAUGCGUAGAUAUCUGGAGGAAUACCUGUGGCGAAAGCGGCCUCCUAAACGAAUACUGACACUGAGGUGCGAAAGCGUGGGGAGCAAACAGGGAUUAGAUACC